This 253-nucleotide unclassified non-coding RNA is filed under the name uncultured Myxococcales bacterium. Its description in RNAcentral is "contains 16S-23S intergenic spacer region". It matches the Rfam family "Bacterial small subunit ribosomal RNA", at positions 524 to 776 of the family's 1533-position model. The record is from RNAcentral. Lineage: Bacteria; Pseudomonadati; Myxococcota; Myxococcia; Myxococcales.
UACAGAGGGUGCAAACGUUGCUCGGAAUUACUGGGCGUAAAGCGCGUGUAGGCGGUCCGUUAAGUUGGUAGUGAAAUCCCAUGGCUCAACCAUGGAAGUGCUGCCAAUACUGGCGGGCUAGAGUGCCGGGGAGGGUGGCGGAAUUCCCAGUGUAGAGGUGAAAUUCGUAGAUAUUGGGAGGAACACCGGUGGCGAAGGCGGCCACCUGGACGGUAACUGACGCUGAGACGCGAAAGCGUGGGUAGCAAACAGG